Molecule: unclassified non-coding RNA, 111 nt
Organism: Nomascus leucogenys (northern white-cheeked gibbon)
Lineage: Eukaryota; Metazoa; Chordata; Mammalia; Primates; Hylobatidae
Rfam family: Y RNA
About the family: Y RNAs are components of the Ro ribonucleoprotein particle (Ro RNP), in association with Ro60 and La proteins. The Y RNAs and Ro60 and La proteins are well conserved, but the function of the Ro RNP is not known.
Source: Ensembl
GGCUAGUCUGAAGGUAGUGAGUUACCUCAAUUGACUGUUCAGUUAGUUGCAGAUCGAACUCCUUGUUCUACUCUUUCCCCUCUUUCCACUACUGCAUGUGACUAGUCUAAA